Non-coding RNA from Acanthosepion pharaonis, 105 nucleotides. The record is from the annotation of a GenBank genome assembly. Lineage: Eukaryota; Metazoa; Mollusca; Cephalopoda; Sepiida; Sepiidae.
CAUCAUACUGAAACACCAGUUCUCGUAUGAUCACCAAAGUUAAGCAACAUUGAGACUGGUCAAUACCUGGAUGGGUGACUACUUAGAAAUACCAGAUGCUGUAAG